UUCGGCCAUAGUGGCGCACGGGUGAGUAACGCGUGGGAACCUGCCCAGCAGUGGGGAAUAACUUCGGGAAACCGGGGCUAAUACCGCAUACGCCCUUAGGGGGAAAGAUUUAUCGCUGUUGGAGGGGCCCGCGUCCGAUUAGUUUGCUGGUGGGGUAAUGGCCUACCAAGACUACGAUCGGUAGCUGGUCUGAGAGGAUGAUCAGCCACACUGGGACUGAGACACGGCCCAGACUCCUACGGGAGGCAGCAGUGGGGAAUAUUGGACAAUGGGCGCAAGCCUGAUCCAGCAAUGCCGCGUGAGUGAUGAAGGCCUUAGGGUUGUAAAGCUCUUUCGGCGGGGACGAUGAUGACGGUACCCGCAGAAGAAGCCCCGGCUAACUUCGUGCCAGCAGCCGCGGUAAUACGAAAGGGGGCUAGCGUUGUUCGGAAAUUACUGGGCGUAAAGAGCACGUAGGCGGUUCGUUAAA
Molecule: ribosomal RNA, 469 nt
Filed under: uncultured Magnetospirillum sp.
Lineage: Bacteria; Pseudomonadati; Pseudomonadota; Alphaproteobacteria; Rhodospirillales; Rhodospirillaceae
Description: bacterial SSU rRNA
Rfam family: Bacterial small subunit ribosomal RNA
Source: RNAcentral